This 454-nucleotide ribosomal RNA is filed under the name uncultured bacterium. Its description in RNAcentral is "bacterial SSU rRNA". It matches the Rfam family "Bacterial small subunit ribosomal RNA", at positions 97 to 520 of the family's 1533-position model. The record is from RNAcentral.
GGAGAACGGGUGAGUAACACGUGGGUAAUCAAGCCCAUCGACACGUGGGAUAGCCCGGGGAAACCCGGAUUGAAUCACCGGAUGGCCCUUUGGAUCCUCGGAUCUGAAGGAAAAGGUCAGCUUCGGCCUCUGGUCUGGAGGCACGAGCCCGCGGCGGAUUAGCUUGUUGGUGGGGUAAAGGCCUACCAAGGCGACGAUCCGUAGCUGGUCUGAGAGGACGAUCAGCCACACUGGGACUGAGACACGGUCCAGAUUCAUACGGGAGGCAGCAGUGGGGAAUCUUGCGCUAAUGCGGGAAACCGUGACGCAGCGACAGCCUGACGUGAGGGAAUGAAGGCCUUCGGGUCGUAAACCCUCUUUCAGGAAGGGACGAAGCUACUCGGGUGAAUAGCCCAGAGGGUGACGGUACCUCCCAGAAUGAAGCCCCAGGCUAACUACGUGCCAGCCGCCGCGG